AGCUUUGCACGGUGCCAGUGUGGUAGCCAAUGAGGUUUAUCCGAGGAGCGAUUAUUGCUAAUUGAAAACUUUUCCCAAUACCCCGCCAUGAUGACCUGAAAUAUAGUUGGCAUUGGCAAUUUUUGACAGUCUCUAUGGAGA
Molecule: small nuclear RNA, 141 nt
Filed under: Choloepus hoffmanni (Hoffmann's two-fingered sloth)
Lineage: Eukaryota; Metazoa; Chordata; Mammalia; Pilosa; Megalonychidae
Description: U4 spliceosomal RNA (ENSCHOG00000015066.1)
Rfam family: U4 spliceosomal RNA
About the family: U4 small nuclear RNA (U4 snRNA) is a component of the major U2-dependent spliceosome.
Source: RNAcentral